GCUGAGGUGUCCCACAAUAGGACGAAACGGCCGUCC
Molecule: non-coding RNA, 36 nt
Organism: Schistosoma margrebowiei
Lineage: Eukaryota; Metazoa; Platyhelminthes; Trematoda; Strigeidida; Schistosomatidae
Source: Rfam